Octodon degus (degu) is the source of this 340-nucleotide long non-coding RNA. RefSeq lists it as uncharacterized. The transcript has 3 exons. The record is from RefSeq and is a predicted model, not a curated record. NCBI's taxonomy places the organism in Eukaryota, Metazoa, Chordata, Mammalia, Rodentia, Octodontidae.
GUUUCAGGGAACCAUGAAAUUAAAGAGUCUAAACAAGAACAUGAAUUGCUGACCCCCAGGAUGAAGCCUGAGGGUACAGAAAAGGAUAAAGAUGAGCCAAUCCUGCAGGCUUCAUUUGAAGAGGACCCCAAAUCUUCCUCCCAGGGCUGCGACCAGGGGAGCAUCCUGGAGCCUCUUGGUGAUCUGACUAAUGAUCGUUAACUAUCCUUUUCUCUGGGUGAAACUUAUCCUCAGGAAGCUGGAUCUGAAGACAAGAAAGCGGAGCUCAUAUUACCCAGGUGAAUAUGAACAUCGUAGGCUGUGAAUCAAUGGUGACUUGUGGAGAUCUGAGGUCCCUGAA